This is a transfer RNA of Tritrichomonas foetus, 80 nucleotides long. It matches the Rfam family "tRNA". Rfam says of the family: Transfer RNA (tRNA) molecules are approximately 80 nucleotides in length. Their secondary structure includes four short double-helical elements and three loops (D, anti-codon, and T loops). NCBI's taxonomy places the organism in Eukaryota, Parabasalia, Tritrichomonadida, Tritrichomonadidae. The record is from Rfam.
GGUAGUAUGGCCGAGUGGUUUAAGGCAUUGGAAUUUUCAGUUAGAUCCAAUUUGCGAAGGUUCGAAUCCUUCUUCUACCA